Molecule: long non-coding RNA, 241 nt
Filed under: Lathyrus oleraceus (garden pea)
Lineage: Eukaryota; Viridiplantae; Streptophyta; Magnoliopsida; Fabales; Fabaceae
Description: Pisum sativum (pea) long non-coding RNA (PSAT_LNC008289)
Source: RNAcentral
UCUUUCUGACAUAUUUCUCUGAGCAAUUUAGGCUAUUUUUCUUUCAUUUCCUCUGUGUGUUUUGUUAAUCUGUGUUUGUUGUAGGAACCAUGGGACCAAAAAGAGCACAAGUUAUACGCAUAUCUUCUUUAAGGUGUUCCACCAUUCCAUCUACCCCCACCUACCCUAACCAUAAGUUCUUAUCUGAGGCUCAUGCUGAGAAUGACCUCAAGAUGUUGGACUACCACAUCGUGAAAGAAAG